GACGAACGCUGGCGGCGUGCUUAACACAUGCAAGUCGAACGGGAAGGCCCUGCUUUUGUGGGGUGCUCGAGUGGCGAACGGGUGAGUAACACGUGAGUAACCUGCCCUUGACUUUGGGAUAACUUCAGGAAACUGGGGCUAAUACCGGAUAGGAGCUCCUGCUGCAUGGUGGGGGUUGGAAAGUUUCGGCGGUUGGGGAUGGACUCGCGGCUUAUCAGCUUGUUGGUGGGGUAGUGGCUUACCAAGGCUUUGACGGGUAGCCGGCCUGAGAGGGUGACCGGCCACAUUGGGACUGAGAUACGGCCCAGACUCCUACGGGAGGCAGCAGUGGGGAAUAUUGCACAAUGGGCGGAAGCCUGAUGCAGCAACGCCGCGUGCGGGAUGACGGCCUUCGGGUUGUAAACCGCUUUCGCCUGUGACGAAGCGUGAGUGACGGUAAUGGGUAAAGAAGCACCGGCUAACAACGUG
This 468-nucleotide ribosomal RNA is filed under the name uncultured bacterium. Its description in RNAcentral is "partial 16S ribosomal RNA". It matches the Rfam family "Bacterial small subunit ribosomal RNA", at positions 28 to 507 of the family's 1533-position model. The record is from RNAcentral.